AAUCCAUAGGUUAAUGAGGCGAACCGGGGGAACUGAAACAUCUAAGUACCCCGAGGAAAAGAAAUCAACCGAGAUUCCCCCAGUAGCGGCGAGCGAACGGGGAGGAGCCCAGAGCCUGAAUCAGCAUGUGUGUUAGUGGAAGCGUCUGGAAAGGCGCGCGAUACAGGGUGACAGCCCCGUACACAAAAGCGCAUGUGCUGUGAGCUCGAUGAGUAGGGCGGGACACGUGGUAUCCUGUCUGAAUAUGGGGGGACCAUCCUCCAAGGCUAAAUACUCCUGACUGACCGAUAGUGAACCAGUACCGUGAGGGAAAGGCGAAAAGAACCCCGGCGAGGGGAGUGAAAAAGAACCUGAAACCGUGUACGUACAAGCAGUGGGAGCACCCUUUGGGUGUGACUGCGUACCUUUUGUAUAAUGGGUCAGCGACUUAUAUUCUGUAGCAAGGUUAACCGAAUAGGGGAGCCGGAGGGAAACCGAGUCUUAACCGGGCGUUAAGUUGCAGGGUAUAGACCCGAAACCCGGUGAUCUAGCCAUGGGCAGGUUGAAGGUUGGGUAACACUAACUGGAGGACCGAACCGACUAAUGUUGAAAAAUUAGCGGAUGACCUGUGGCUGGGGGUGAAAGGCCAAUCAAACCGGGAGAUAGCUGGUUCUCCCCGAAAGCUAUUUAGGUAGCGCCUCGUGAAUUCAUCUCCGGGGGUAGAGCACUGUUUCGGCUAGGGGGCCAUCCCGGCUUACCAACCCGAUGCAAACUGCGAAUACCGGAGAAUGUUAUCACGGGAGACACACGGCGGGUGCUAACGUCCGUCGUGAAGAGGGAAACAACCCAGACCGCCAGCUAAGGUCCCAAAGUCAUGGUUAAGUGGGAAACGAUGUGGGAAGGCCCAGACAGCCAGGAUGUUGGCUUAGAAGCAGCCAUCAUUUAAAGAAAGCGUAAUAGCUCACUGGUCGAGUCGGCCUGCGCGGAAGAUGUAACGGGGCUAAACCAUGCACCGAAGCUGCGGCAGCGACACUGUGUGUUGUUGGGUAGGGGAGCGUUCUGUAAGCCUGCGAAGGUGGCCUGUGAGGG
Molecule: ribosomal RNA, 1068 nt
Filed under: Salmonella enterica subsp. enterica
Lineage: Bacteria; Pseudomonadati; Pseudomonadota; Gammaproteobacteria; Enterobacterales; Enterobacteriaceae
Also listed under: 1 other name
Description: partial 23S ribosomal RNA
Rfam family: Bacterial large subunit ribosomal RNA
Source: RNAcentral